UACGUAGGGUCCGAGCGUUGUCCGGAAUUACUGGGCGUAAAGAGCUCGUAGGUGGUUUGUCGCGUUGUUCGUGAAAACCGGGGGCUUAACCCUCGGCGUGCGGGCGAUACGGGCAGACUUGAGUACUGCAGGGGAGACUGGAAUUCCUGGUGUAGCGGUGAAAUGCGCAGAUAUCAGGAGGAACACCGGUGGCGAAGGCGGGUCUCUGGGCCGAUACUGACGCUGAGGAGCGAAAGCGUGGGGAGCGAACAGG
This 253-nucleotide ribosomal RNA is filed under the name uncultured bacterium. Its description in RNAcentral is "partial 16S ribosomal RNA". It matches the Rfam family "Bacterial small subunit ribosomal RNA", at positions 524 to 776 of the family's 1533-position model. The record is from RNAcentral.